RNAcentral lists this ribosomal RNA (199 nucleotides) under Shigella flexneri. RNAcentral describes it as "partial 23S ribosomal RNA". It matches the Rfam family "Bacterial large subunit ribosomal RNA", at positions 2749 to 2925 of the family's 2925-position model. Lineage: Bacteria; Pseudomonadati; Pseudomonadota; Gammaproteobacteria; Enterobacterales; Enterobacteriaceae. The record is from RNAcentral.
CUAAAUGCGGAAGAGAUAAGUGCUGAAAGCAUCUAAGCACGAAACUUGCCCCGAGAUGAGUUCUCCCUGACCCUUUAAGGUCCUGAAGGAACGUUGAAGACGACGACGUUGAUAGGCCGGGUGUGUAAGCGCAGCGAUGCGUUGAGCUAACCGGUACUAAUGAACCGUGAGGCUUAACCUUACAACGCCGAAGGUGUUU